This 484-nucleotide ribosomal RNA is filed under the name uncultured bacterium. RNAcentral describes it as "partial 16S ribosomal RNA". It matches the Rfam family "Bacterial small subunit ribosomal RNA", at positions 28 to 507 of the family's 1533-position model. The record is from RNAcentral.
AUUGAACGCUGGCGGCAUGCUUUACACAUGCAAGUCGAACGGCAGCGCGGGCUUCGGCCUGGCGGCGAGUGGCGAACGGGUGAGUAAUGCAUCGGAACGUGCCCAGUAGUGGGGGAUAGCCCGGCGAAAGCCGGAUUAAUACCGCAUACGACCUGAGGGUGAAAGCGGGGGACCGAAAGGCCUCGCGCUAUUGGAGCGGCCGAUGUCGGAUUAGCUAGUUGGUGGGGUAAAGGCUUACCAAGGCGACGAUCCGUAGCUGGUCUGAGAGGACGACCAGCCACACUGGGACUGCGCCACGGUCCAGACUCCUACGGGAGGCAGCAGUGGGGAAUUUUGGACAAUGGGGGCAACCCUGAUCCAGCCAUGCCGCGUGCGGGAAGAAGGCCUUCGGGUUGUAAACCGCUUUUGUUCGGGAAGAAAUCCUCUGGGCUAAUACCCCGGGGGGAUGACGGUACCGGAAGAAUAAGCACCGGCUAACUACGUG